GCCAGACUCCUACGGGAGGCAGCAGUAGGGAAUAUUGCUCAAUGGGGGAAACCCUGAUGCAGCGACGCCGCGUGGGUGAAGAAGCGCCUCGGCGCGUAAAGCCCUGUCAGCAGGGAAGAAAAUGACGGUACCUGAAGAAGAAGCCCCGGCUAACUACGUGCCAGCAGCCGCGGUAAUACGUAGGGGGCAAGCGUUAUCCGGAUUUACUGGGUGUAAAGGGAGCGUAGACGGCAGUGCAAGUCCGGAGUGAAAGCCCGGGGCUCAACCCUGGGACUGCUCUGGAAACUGUAAAGCUGGAGUGCGGGAGGGGCAGGCGGAAUUCCUGGUGUAGCGGUGAAAUGCGUAGAUAUCAGGAGGAACACCGGCGGCGAAGGCGGCCUGCUGGACCGUGACUGACGUUGAGGCUCGAGAGCGUGGGGAGCAAACAGGAUUAGAUACCCUGGUA
This 445-nucleotide ribosomal RNA is filed under the name uncultured bacterium. Its description in RNAcentral is "partial 16S ribosomal RNA". It matches the Rfam family "Bacterial small subunit ribosomal RNA", at positions 330 to 792 of the family's 1533-position model. The record is from RNAcentral.